GCGAGAGUAGCUCAGUUGAUAGAGCGCCACCUUGCCAAGGUGGAGGUCGCCGGUUUGAGCCCGGUCUCCCGCU
Molecule: transfer RNA, 73 nt
Filed under: Crocinitomix sp.
Lineage: Bacteria; Pseudomonadati; Bacteroidota; Flavobacteriia; Flavobacteriales; Crocinitomicaceae
Also listed under: 1 other name
Description: tRNA-Gly
Rfam family: tRNA
About the family: Transfer RNA (tRNA) molecules are approximately 80 nucleotides in length.
Source: RNAcentral